GGGGGUGCGCCGAAGUGGGAGAGACGGGGCAGACUGUAAAUCUGUUGCUUUUAGCUGAAUAGGUUCGAAUCCUAUCACCCCCACCA
This 86-nucleotide transfer RNA is filed under the name Saprospirales bacterium. RNAcentral describes it as "tRNA-Tyr". It matches the Rfam family "tRNA". Rfam says of the family: Transfer RNA (tRNA) molecules are approximately 80 nucleotides in length. Their secondary structure includes four short double-helical elements and three loops (D, anti-codon, and T loops). Lineage: Bacteria; Pseudomonadati; Bacteroidota; Saprospiria; Saprospirales. The record is from RNAcentral. RNAcentral also lists the same sequence under 1 other name.